GCCAAAAUGUUUUAUUUGGGCAAUACAAAUACAAUCAAAUCAAAAAUAUCACAGAUUUUCAUACAUUAGUAAGAAGUUACUGUACACUUGAACAGUUGCCAUUUUUUACAGCUAAACAAAAGCUUUACCUUUAUUAAAAUGUAUUUUCCUCUCACAUAAAAUAUACACUUUGCACUGACGUAUUUUACAUGGGACACCUCUCUGGGGAAGAACAGCUCACGAACAACACGACAGGGCCACCUUCUCUACCCCACACAAGAGCACAUCGAAGCGAGACACACGGCUGCUCCCAGGGCCGGCAGGGCCCUCCGAACGACUGCUGGGCUCGGGCAGUUUGGGGUUGGUUGAGUUUUGGGGUCACUGGAUUUCAGCGUUGGUGGAUUUUUAGGCCUGGCGGAUUUUAGGGUUGUUGCAUUUUUGGGGUUGGUGGAUUUUUGGAGUCGAUGGAUUUUAGGGUUGGUUGAUUUUUGGGGUUGGUUGAUUUUUGGGGUUGGUGGAUUUUUUGAGUUGGUGGAUUUCAGGGUUGGUUGAUUUUUGGGGUCAGCAUGUUUUUGGGGUCGGUGGAUUUCAGGCUUGGUGGAUUUUUGGGGUUGGUGGAUUUUGGGGCUGGUGGAUUUUUGAGCCUGGCAGAUUUUAGGGUUGGUGCAUUUUGGGGGCUGGAUUUUUGGGGUCAGUGGAUUUUUGAGGCUGGUCAAUUUUUGGGGUCAGCACGUUUUUGGGGUCAGCACGUUUUUGGGGUCAGUGGAUUUCAGGCUUGGUGGAUUGUUUGAGUUGGUGGAUUUUAAGGGUUAGUGCAUUUUGGGGUCGGUGGAUUUUUGGGGUUGGUGCAUUUUUGGGGCUGGUGGAUUUUUAGGUCAGAAGAAGGGACUUUGGGCAGGGUUGAGCCUGGCUCUGGUGGCUCUUCCUGGGGUUCAGCUGCCAGGAACGCCCUCCCAGGAUGUUCCUUGUCACCCUCUUCUUUUAAAAGUUUUAAAGUUCUUUUAAAAGUUUUAAAGUUCUUUUAAAAGUUUUAAAGUUCUUUUGAAAGUUUUCAUGCCUUCUGAUAAUGUUUAUAUAUCUCUGCUGGAGUUCUCAGGCACUGUUGAUGUAAAUAAUGAUUGUUUUGCAUUCUUCUCUGUGGGAGGAGAGAAUUGGUGGGCUGUUGGUUUGACCAGUGUGGUUGGAGAGGUGGCAAUCCCAUCCCCCAGUCCACUGCCACUUUUGGAACUCUGCAUAUUGCGAGGUCAGAAAUAAAAGUUACUUCCUUUUGCUCUUUUAAGCUUAGAGUGAGUGUGUGAGUUAUUUUGUGCAGCAGUGCAGCAGUUCCUGGUGCCAGGGCAGGGGUUUGGGGGUCCCUCCAGUGGGAUUCUGCACCCACAGAACCAGGGGAGCUCCCGGCAGCAGAGCAGGUGGAGCCCAGGACAAAGCCCAGGAGGGGUGAAAGGCUGUGGGAACAACUCUGGGUGAGCAGGAGGCUCCGUGGGAGCCCCACAGGAACCGCUGGAUGGUUUUGGGACUGGAUUUGGAGAAGAGAUGCAGCAAGAAAUGCACUCAUCCCUACGGGCUGGAGUGAAACCUGGGUGAACUCGGGGCUCUGCCAGACUCAGGUGAAACGGAUUAAAGAAAGGGGGAAAAGGAAAUGUCACCGUGGUUUAAUCCUGGAGAGGAGAAGUUCUGCUCUUAGCCAAAGGAAAAACUUCUGGGAAAGGAUUUUCCUCCCUGCCCCUUGUACAGCAGUGAGGGGAGGGGAAGUCAGCGAGUGGCUUUGGAAAAAUCUCCGUGUAUUUUAAAGAGGAUUUUGAUGGAAUUGCAGGGAGGGAGAUCUGUGGGACAUGGACACAGAUGGUCUGUGUGCAGCCUGCAGUGAUCUGCCUUGGCUUCAGACCCCCAAAAGGCACCAGCCACUUCUGAGGGCUUGGAGGGCUCAGGCAGCGCCUGGAUCUGGGAGUGGCAGCCCCAGCCUGGGGUCUCCAGGCUCCUCUCACACCCAGCUCCUCCUUCUGCUCCCAUCCUUUCCACAGAAACCCCCUGGCUGCCCCAGGCAUCCCUGCCUGCCAGGACCUGGGAACAGGGGCUUGCUCCUCUUCCAAAAACUCCUGCCAUCCUCAGGAAUAAGGCAUCUGUUGAGUUUAGUUACUGUAAACCACUUGUGAAAAACCAAAAUCCGCACCGUGUCCUGGCACCCCCAGGGGAUUUACUUAGACAUGAAUAAAAAAGAGUAAAAUAUAUAUUUAUAUAUAUAUAUAAUUAUCCUUUGCUAAUUGUAGCACAAUGUACAAUCUGAACCUGAUUUGGGAAUAAA
RNAcentral lists this long non-coding RNA (2281 nucleotides) under Taeniopygia guttata (zebra finch). RNAcentral's name for it is "lncRNA (ENSTGUG00000019283.1)". Lineage: Eukaryota; Metazoa; Chordata; Aves; Passeriformes; Estrildidae. The record is from RNAcentral.